Molecule: ribosomal RNA, 774 nt
Filed under: uncultured Neocallimastigales
Lineage: Eukaryota; Fungi; Neocallimastigomycota; Neocallimastigomycetes; Neocallimastigales
Description: partial large subunit ribosomal RNA
Rfam family: Eukaryotic large subunit ribosomal RNA
Source: RNAcentral
ACACUGACGUCGCGACGCAUAUCAAUAAGCGGAGGAAAAGAAACUAACAAGGAUUCCACUAGUAACGGCGAGUGAAGCGGGAAGAGCUCAAAUUUGAAAUCUUCAAGGGUUUCCCUUGACGAAUUGUAGUUUAAAGAAGUGUUUUCUGUUAGAGAGGUGGUAAAAGUUCUUUGGAAUAGGACAUCAUAGAGGGUGAGAAUCCCGUAUUUGAUCACUUUCUACUAACGUUGUGAUACACUUUCAAAGAGUCGGAUUGUUUGGGAAUGCAGUCCAAAAUGGGUGGUAAAUUUCAUCUAAAGCUAAAUAUUGGCGAGAGACCGAUAGCGAACAAGUACCGUGAGGGAAAGAUGAAAAGAACUUUGAAAAGAGAGUUAAACAGUACGUGAAAUUGUCAAAAGGGAAGCGUUUGACACCAGUGUUGUUUUUCCGAAAAUCAAUUAUGAAUGGCUUGAUUUUAAGUUUCAUGACCUUAAAAGCUUGUUUCUUAUUUUUCAUGUCUUUCGUAAUGCACUUUUCGGUUAACAAGUCAACAUCAAUUUCUUUUGUUGUAAAAGGUUAAGAGGAAGGUGGCUUUACUUUCGGGCAAAGUGUUUAUAGCCUUUUAACUCUGCAAUCGGAGAGAUUGAGGUCUGCAGCGUAGAUCCUUCGGGGUUAGAUACAUUUGUGCUAAGUUAUAGCUUUUCAUAGACAACUUGUUGACUAUGUUAAGUCUUGUAAUUUACUCGCAGAUGCUAUUUUACCUACGCUUAGGAUGUUGAGUAGCGACAUACGCAC